GAUGAACGCUGGCGGCGUGCCUAAUACAUGCAAGUCGAGCGAACGGACGAGAAGCUUGCUUCUCUGAUGUUAGCGGCGGACGGGUGAGUAACACGUGGAUAACCUACCUAUAAGACUGGGAUAACUUCGGGAAACCGGAGCUAACACCGGAUAAUAUUUUGAACCGCAUGGUUCAAAAGUGAAAGACGGUCUUGCUGUCACUUAUAGAUGGAUCCGCGCUGCAUUAGCUAGUUGGUAAGGUAACGGCCUACCAAGGCAACGAUGCAUAGCCGACCUGAGAGGGUGAUCGGCCACACUGGAACUGAGACACGGUCCAGACUCCUACGGGAGGCAGCAGUAGGGAAUCUUCCGCAAUGGGCGAAAGCCUGACGGAGCAACGCCGCGUGAGUGAUGAAGGUCUUCGGAUCGUAAAACUCUGUUAUUAGGGAAGAACAUAUGUGUAAGUAACUGUGCACAUCUUGACGGUACCUAAUCAGAAAGCCACGGCUAACUACGUG
RNAcentral lists this ribosomal RNA (497 nucleotides) under uncultured bacterium. Its description in RNAcentral is "partial 16S ribosomal RNA". It matches the Rfam family "Bacterial small subunit ribosomal RNA", at positions 28 to 507 of the family's 1533-position model. The record is from RNAcentral.